This 59-nucleotide transfer RNA is filed under the name Variovorax sp. Root473. It matches the Rfam family "tRNA", at positions 7 to 64 of the family's 71-position model. Rfam says of the family: Transfer RNA (tRNA) molecules are approximately 80 nucleotides in length. Their secondary structure includes four short double-helical elements and three loops (D, anti-codon, and T loops). Lineage: Bacteria; Pseudomonadati; Pseudomonadota; Betaproteobacteria; Burkholderiales; Comamonadaceae. The record is from Rfam by way of RNAcentral.
AAGGCNAGUUGGUAGAGCGCCGGACUGUUAAUCCGUAGGUCCCUGGUUCGAGCCCAGGU